UGGGGAAUAUUGCGCAAUGGGGGGAACCCUGACGCAGCCAUGCCGCGUGAAUGAAGAAGGCCUUCGGGUUGUAAAGUUCUUUCGGUAUUGAGGAAGGUUGAUGUGUUAAUAGCACAUCAAAUUGACGUUAAAUACAGAAGAAGCACCGGCUAACUCCGUGCCAGCAGCCGCGGUAAUACGGAGGGUGCGAGCGUUAAUCGGAAUAACUGGGCGUAAAGGGCACGCAGGCGGUUAUUUAAGUGAGGUGUGAAAGCCCCGGGCUUAACCUGGGAAUUGCAUUUCAGACUGGGUAACUAGAGUACUUUAGGGAGGGGUAGAAUUCCACGUGUAGCGGUGAAAUGCGUAGAGAUGUGGAGGAAUACCGAAGGCGAAGGCAGCCCCUUGGGAAUGUACUGACGCUCAUGUGCGAAAGCGUGGGGAGCAAACAGGAUUAGAUACCCUGGUAGUCCACGCUGUAAACGCUGUCGAUUUGGGGGUUGGGGUUUAACUCUGGCACCCGUAGCUAACGUGAUAAAUCGACCGCCUGGGGAGUACGGCCGCAAGGUUA
RNAcentral lists this ribosomal RNA (547 nucleotides) under uncultured bacterium. RNAcentral's name for it is "bacterial SSU rRNA". It matches the Rfam family "Bacterial small subunit ribosomal RNA", at positions 355 to 896 of the family's 1533-position model. The record is from RNAcentral.